Non-coding RNA from Schizosaccharomyces pombe (fission yeast), 233 nucleotides. The record is from the annotation of a GenBank genome assembly. Lineage: Eukaryota; Fungi; Ascomycota; Schizosaccharomycetes; Schizosaccharomycetales; Schizosaccharomycetaceae.
GUUUAUUCGAGUAAAGAUUCAAUUUGUUUAUAAGGUGCGAUUAGUGGAACUAAGCAACUCUCUUUAUGUCGAUAAGUCGUGUACAACUUUUAUAUACUUAUGCAUAUUACUAUAUGUUAUUGACAUUAAAAAUAAUGGUCAUAUAAUGUACUGUUAAUUUUUUAUUAAUUUCACUUAUAGUCAUCUAUCAAAGUUAGAAUUACAUAAAUUAGAAUAAUCCAAAAAGACAUAUU